Juglans regia (Persian walnut) is the source of this 1493-nucleotide RNA transcript. RefSeq lists it as uncharacterized. The transcript has 6 exons. The record is from RefSeq and is a predicted model, not a curated record. Lineage: Eukaryota; Viridiplantae; Streptophyta; Magnoliopsida; Fagales; Juglandaceae.
GGUCGCCGGACCGUCAGGAUUGACUCAAGAAUGAGAGAGUGCUGGCCACGGCUCGUCCACUUCGUACAAGAGAUAGACCAACCAGAGUCACUAUUCUUGCCACUUAGAUCGGACGUGGCCAAAUUCCCCUAUUCUGCGAAACGCGCAUCCCGGCGUCCAAUCACUCGCAGCACACCGGUCAUCUCCCCAACCGCCAUAGCCAUUGCUGAAACACCACCGUCGUUUACAGUGGAGGAAGAGGUGCCUCUCGCUAUCUCGCUGGUAUCAAGUUUCCCUCCAUCCGAGUGCUUGUCGAAUUCCGAACACUUGAAUUGCUCGAUCGAGUCAAUAUAAACGAAUCUCGCUAUGUCGAUUUUGUAUCUCCUGAUUUCUAGGGUUUUUUCUGUUUUUCUCGUCUGCUCGGUCUUCCUCAGCUGCUUUCCAGGAUUGGUGUUGCCGGCAAUUGUUACACUUGAAUCCCUGGAGAUAUAUAAUACCCACCAGUGGCUGCCAAACACAAAACCAGUAGUCUAUUUCCAGUGUAAAGGGGAGAACAAGACGGUGUUACCCGAUGUGAAAGAAGACCAUGUCUUCUACAAUUUCAAGGGUGAAGAGUCUUGGCAGCCCCUGACAGAACUUCCAAGUAAAAGGUGCAAGCGAUGUGGGUUUUAUGAAGAGAAUAGUUUCGUGUCAGAUGAUGUCUAUGAAGAGUGGGAGUUUUGUCAUAGUGAUUUUACCGAGCCUGAUGGGAAAUAUAUACGGUUCAAGGAGAAGGAAUUUAAUGCUACUUUUUUAUGUUCGAAGUGUGUUCCUUCAGCCAAUGCUUCCAAUUCUGCAUCUUGCUCACAAGAUUGGAGGAAAAGGAAUUGCACGCUGCUCUAAUCAUUUGUGUUUUCAGAAUCACUUGUUUAUAUCCGAUUAGGACUAUUCAUCCGGGCCGAGUUUUUUGUUCGGGUUUACAAUCCGGAAGAGCCUCUCUGGAUGCAAUGGCCGGGGAUUGUCAGGUUUCCUUCCACCCUCAUGUCUCGCACAGAUUAAAAAACUUCCAAUUCUGCAUCUAGCUCUCAAGAUAGAGGAAAGGGAAUGCAUGCUGCUCUAAUCAUAUUGAUUAGUGUUGUGGUUUCAACCGUAUUGGUUCUUGGAGUGGUAGCUGUAUAUAAAUACUGGCAAAAGAAGAAGAGGGAACAAGAUCAAGCUCGGUUUCUGAAGUUGUUUGAAGAUGGGGAUGACAUUGAGGAUGAACUGGGUCUAGGCAAUGUAAUAUGAAGAAUGAAAUAUCACCUGGUUACCUUUUGUACAGAGAAUUGAUCUUAGAAAAGUACUGUUUGUCGAAAGAAAAAACUUAAAAUUUUGAACUUAUCGUGCAAUGGUGUACAUGCGAGAAGUAGUCAUCAUAAAGUGAAGUUGUGUCCCAUUGAUGCAUUCCUAUAUGCAUCCUUGGCCAAAUUGCUAUGUGUAACUUAACUUUGUAAAAUUAUACUGUUCUCCUAAGAUGGAAUAAUGGUUAGUGAGAA